CAAAAUCCAACAUUUUAUCAAGAAUAUAUUUUCUUUCAAUAUCUUCUCUACUUCUUUUUACAUCCUAGCUCCUCCCAAUGCACAAGCUUUCCAAUCAGUUGCACAAAGUGAGACCAGUAUAACUCUGGAGUGGGACAAAGUGAAUGACAUCCUCUAUUAUAUAAUUGUGUUAAGUGGAAGCGAGAUUAAUGUCACUGCAUCAGCGGGACAGGGACCAGUGUCACAAACAAUCUCAGAGCUCACAAGUGGGAAUAAAUAUGACUUCACUCUCUUCACUGUGUUUGAAAAUGUCAGAAGCAGCGGAGUGAACAUCACUGCACCCACUGCUCCUGGAAAUGCACAUAAUGUGACCGUGUCAACACAAAGUGAGACCAGUAUAACUCUGGAGUGGGACAAAGUGAAUGACAUCCUCAAUUAUAUAAUUGUGAUGAAUGGAAGAGAGAUUAAUGUCACUGCAUCAGCGGGACAGGGACCAGUGUCACAAACAAUCUCAGAGCUCACAAGUGGGACGAAAUAUGACUUCACUCUCUUCACUGUGUUUGAAAAUGUCAGAAGCAGCGGAGUGAACAUCACUGCACCCACUGCUCCUGGAAAUGCACAUAAUGUGACCGUGUCAACACAAAGUGAGACCAGUAUAACUCUGGAGUGGGACAAAGUGAAUGACAUCCUCAAUUAUAUAAUUGUGAUGAAUGGAAGAGAGAUUAAUGUCACUGCAUCAGCGGGACAGGGACCAGUGUCACAAACAAUCUCAGAGCUCACAAGUGGGACGAAAUAUGACUUCACUCUCUUCACUGUGUUUGAAAAUGUCAG
Molecule: long non-coding RNA, 810 nt
Filed under: Cyclopterus lumpus (lumpfish)
Lineage: Eukaryota; Metazoa; Chordata; Actinopteri; Perciformes; Cyclopteridae
Description: lncRNA (ENSCLMG00005001447.1)
Source: RNAcentral